UCCGAAGGGGGCUAUCGUUGUUCGGAUUUAUUGGGCGUAAAGGGCGCGUAGGCUGUUUAGUAAGUUGAAGGUAAAAUCCCUAAGCUUAACUUAGGAACCGCUUUCAAAACUGCUAAACUAGAGGUAGGUAGAGGAUAACAGAAUUCCUAGUGUAGAGGUGAAAUUCUUAGAUAUUAGGAGGAAUGCCGAAGGUGAAAACAGUUAUCUGGGCCUUACCUGACGCUGAGGCGCGAAAGUGUGGGGAGAAAACAGG
RNAcentral lists this ribosomal RNA (253 nucleotides) under uncultured bacterium. RNAcentral describes it as "partial 16S ribosomal RNA". It matches the Rfam family "Bacterial small subunit ribosomal RNA", at positions 524 to 776 of the family's 1533-position model. The record is from RNAcentral.